Molecule: long non-coding RNA, 636 nt
Filed under: Mytilus galloprovincialis (Mediterranean mussel)
Lineage: Eukaryota; Metazoa; Mollusca; Bivalvia; Mytilida; Mytilidae
Source: RNAcentral
GGCCCCCUUAUUCCUAAACUGUUGGGACCAAAACUUCCAAAAUCAAUCCCAACCUUCCUUUUAUGGUCAUAAACCUUGUGUUUAAAUUUCAUAGAUUUCUAUUUACUUAUACUAAAGUUAUGGUGCGAAAACCAAGAAAAAUGCUUAUUUGGGCCCCUUUUUGGCCCCCAAUUCCUAAACUGUUCGGACCUCAAAUCCCAAAAUCAAUCCCAACCUUCCUUUUAUGGUCAUAAACCUUGUGUUUAAAUUUCAUUGAUUUCUAUUUACUUAGGUAUACUAAAGUUAUUGUGCGAAAACCAAGAAAAAUGCUUAUUUGGGCCCUUUUUUGGCCCCUAAUUCCUAAACUGUUGAAACCAAAACUCCCAAAAUCAAUCCCAACCUUCCUUUUGUGGUCAUAAACCUUGUGUCAAAAUUUCAUAGAUUUCUAUUUACUUAAACUAAAGUUAUAGUGCGAAAACCAAGAAAAUGCUUAUUUGGGCCCUUUUUGGCCCCUAAUUCCUAAAAUGUUGGGACCAAAACUCCCAAAAUUAAUCCCAACCUUCCUUUUGUGGUAAUAAACCUUGUGUUAAAAUUUCGUAGAUUUCUAUUCACAUUUACUAAAGUUAGAGUGCGAAAACUAAAAGUAUUCGGACGACG